UACGGGAGGCAGCAGUGGGGAAUAUUGCACAAUGGGCGCAAGCCUGAUGCAGCCAUGCCGCGUGUAUGAAAAGGCCUUCGGGUUGUAAAGUACUUUCUAGUCGUGAGGAAGGUGUUAAGGUUAAUAACCUUAGCAAUUGACGUUAGCGACAGAAGAAGCACCGGCUAACUCCGUGCCAGCAGCCGCGGUAAUACGGAGGGUGCGAGCGUUAAUCGGAAUUACUGGGCGUAAAGGGCACGCAGGCGGUUAAUUAAGUUGGAUGUGAAAUCCCCGGGCUUAACCUGGGAAUGGCAUUCAAGACUGGUUAGCUAGAGUCUUGUAGAGGGGGGUAGAAAUUCCAUGUGUAGCGGUGAAAUGCGUAGAGAUGUGGAGGAAAUACCGGUGGCGAAGGCGGCCCCCUGGACAAAAGACUGACGCUCAUGUGCGAAAGCGUGGGGAGCAAAACAGGGAUAGAU
This 455-nucleotide ribosomal RNA is filed under the name uncultured bacterium. Its description in RNAcentral is "bacterial SSU rRNA". It matches the Rfam family "Bacterial small subunit ribosomal RNA", at positions 340 to 783 of the family's 1533-position model. The record is from RNAcentral.